GAUUAACGCUGGCGGCGUGCCUAACACAUGCAAGUCGAACGAUGAAACUUAAAUGAUUUCUUCGGAAUGAACUUAAGUGGAUUAGUGGCGGACGGGUGAGUAACGCGUGAGUAACCUGCCUUACACAAGGGGAUAGCCGUUGGAAACGACGAAUAAUACCCUAUGAAACUAUCACUUCGCAUGAAGCGAUAGUCAAAGUGUUAGCGGUGUAAGAUGGACUUGCGUCUGAUUAGCUAGUUGGUGAGAAAAAAGCCCACCAAGGCAACGAUCAGUAGCCGGCUUGAGAGAGUGUACGGCCCCAUUGGGACUGAGACACGGCCCAGACUCCUACGGGAGGCAGCAGUGGGGAAUUUUGCACAAUGGGGGAAACCCUGAUGCAGCGACGCCGCGUGAUUUAGAAGGCCUUCGGGUUGUAAAAAUCUUUUGUAUAGGAAGAAAAUGACAGUACUAUACGAAUAAGGUCCGGCUAAUUACGUG
This 477-nucleotide ribosomal RNA is filed under the name uncultured bacterium. RNAcentral describes it as "partial 16S ribosomal RNA". It matches the Rfam family "Bacterial small subunit ribosomal RNA", at positions 28 to 507 of the family's 1533-position model. The record is from RNAcentral.